This 505-nucleotide ribosomal RNA is filed under the name Pseudocercospora avicenniae. Its description in RNAcentral is "eukaryotic LSU rRNA". The stretch from base 162 to 315 matches the Rfam family "5.8S ribosomal RNA". Lineage: Eukaryota; Fungi; Ascomycota; Dothideomycetes; Mycosphaerellales; Mycosphaerellaceae. The record is from RNAcentral.
AGGGAUCAUUACUGAGUGAGGGCUCACGCCCGACCUCCAACCCUUUGUGAACCAAACUUGUUGCUUCGGGGGCGACCCUGCCGACGACUUUGUCGCCGGGCGCCCCCGGAGGUCUUCUAAACACUGCAUCUUUGCGUCGGAGUUUAAAACAAAUUAAACAAAACUUUCAACAACGGAUCUCUUGGUUCUGGCAUCGAUGAAGAACGCAGCGAAAUGCGAUAAGUAAUGUGAAUUGCAGAAUUCAGUGAAUCAUCGAAUCUUUGAACGCACAUUGCGCCCUUUGGUAUUCCGAAGGGCAUGCCUGUUCGAGCGUCAUUUCACCACUCAAGCCUGGCUUGGUAUUGGGCGUCGCGGUGUUCCGCGCGCCUUAAAGUCUUCCGGCUGAGCUGUCCGUCUCUAAGCGUUGUGGAUUUUUCAAUUCGCUUCGGAGUGCGGAUGGCCGCGGCCGUUAAAUCUUUAUUCAAAGGUUGACCUCGGAUCAGGUAGGGAUACCCGCUGAACUUAA